GGACUACAGGGGUAUCUAAUCCCGUUUGCUCCCCUGGCCUUCGUGCCUCAGUGUCAGUAACUGUCCAGAGAUCCGCCUUCGCCACUGGUCUUCCUUACGAUAUCUACGCAUUUCACUGCUACACCGUAAAUUCCAAUCUCCUCUCCAGUACUCUAGCAAGGCAGUAUUGAAUGCAGUUCCGGGGUUAAGCCCCGGGAUUUCACAUCCAACUUACCUCGCCACCUACGCACCCUUUACGCCCAAUGAAUCCGAACAACGCUUGAGACCUCUGUAUUACCGCGGCUGCUGGCAC
RNAcentral lists this ribosomal RNA (292 nucleotides) under uncultured Verrucomicrobiota bacterium. RNAcentral's name for it is "uncultured Verrucomicrobia bacterium partial 16S ribosomal RNA". The record is from RNAcentral. Lineage: Bacteria; Pseudomonadati; Verrucomicrobiota.